Molecule: non-coding RNA, 113 nt
Organism: Acanthosepion pharaonis
Lineage: Eukaryota; Metazoa; Mollusca; Cephalopoda; Sepiida; Sepiidae
Source: the annotation of a GenBank genome assembly
UACGGCCGUAUCACGUUGAAACACCGGUUCUCUUACGAUCACUGAAGUUAAGCGACAUCGAGCCUGAUCAGUACCUAGAUGGGUGACCCCUUGGGAAUAUAAGGUACUGUAAG